RNAcentral lists this ribosomal RNA (443 nucleotides) under uncultured soil bacterium. RNAcentral describes it as "bacterial SSU rRNA". It matches the Rfam family "Bacterial small subunit ribosomal RNA", at positions 26 to 518 of the family's 1533-position model. The record is from RNAcentral.
AGAACGAACGCUGGCGGCAUGCCUAAUACAUGCAAGUCGAACGAACUCUUCGGAGUUAGUGGCGCACGGGUGCGUAACGCGUGGGAAUCUGCCCUUGGGUUCGGAAUAACAGUUGGAAACGACUGCUAAUACCGGAUGAUGACGAAAGUCCAAAGAUUUAUCGCCCAGGGAUGAGCCCGCGUAGGAUUAGCUAGUUGGUGAGGUAAAGGCUCACCAAGGCGACGAUCCUUAGCUGGUCUGAGAGGAUGAUCAGCCGCACUGGGACUGAGACACGGCCCAGACUCCUACGGGAGGCAGCAGUAGGGAAUAUGGACAAUGGGCGAAAGCCUGAUCCAGCAAUGCGCGUGAGUGAUGAAGGCCUUAGGUUGUAAAGCUCUUUUACCCGAGAUGAUAAUGACAGUAUCGGAGAAUAAGACCCGGCUAAACUCCGUGCCAGCAGCCGU